Molecule: non-coding RNA, 26 nt
Filed under: Bombyx mori (domestic silkworm)
Lineage: Eukaryota; Metazoa; Arthropoda; Insecta; Lepidoptera; Bombycidae
Source: RNAcentral
UCAUCGAUGAAACAAUAGACGAAAUC